UCGAGAAGCUUCGGCAAUGGGCGAAAGCCUGACCGAGCGACGCCGCGUGAGCGAUGAAGGCCCUUGUGGUUGUAAAGCUCUGUCAGAGGGGAUUAACACGGAGCGGCGAAUAGCCUCUCCGUCUGAAAGUACCCUCAGAGGAAGCUCCGGCUAACUCCGUGCCAGCAGCCGCGGUAAUACGGAGGGAGCGAACGUUGUUCGGAAUCACUGGGUGUAAAGGGUGCGUAGGCGGCCUUGUAUGUCGGAGGUGAAAUCUACCGGCUCAACCGGUCAAAUUGCCUCCGAAACUGGUUGGCUUGAGUCCGGAAGGGGAGGGUGGAAUUCCUGGUGUAACGGUGAAAUGUGCAGAUAUCAGGAGGAACACCGGUGGCGAAGGCGGCCCUCUGGUCCGGUACUGACGCUGAGGCACGAAAGCCAGGGGAUCAAACGGG
This 431-nucleotide ribosomal RNA is filed under the name bacterium. Its description in RNAcentral is "partial 16S ribosomal RNA". It matches the Rfam family "Bacterial small subunit ribosomal RNA", at positions 355 to 776 of the family's 1533-position model. The record is from RNAcentral.